This 253-nucleotide ribosomal RNA is filed under the name uncultured bacterium. Its description in RNAcentral is "partial 16S ribosomal RNA". It matches the Rfam family "Bacterial small subunit ribosomal RNA", at positions 524 to 776 of the family's 1533-position model. The record is from RNAcentral.
UACGAAGGGGGCUAGCGUUGUUCGGAAUCACUGGGCGUAAAGCGCGCGUAGGCGGGUCGUUAAGUCGGGGGUGAAAUCCCGAGGCUCAACCUCGGAACUGCCUUCGAUACUGGCGACCUUGAGUCCGGGAGAGGUGAGUGGAACUCCUAGUGUAGAGGUGAAAUUCGUAGAUAUUAGGAAGAACACCAGUGGCGAAGGCGGCUCACUGGCCCGGUACUGACGCUGAUGUGCGAAAGCGUGGGGAGCAAACAGG